This 301-nucleotide ribosomal RNA is filed under the name uncultured bacterium. RNAcentral's name for it is "partial 16S ribosomal RNA". It matches the Rfam family "Bacterial small subunit ribosomal RNA", at positions 509 to 807 of the family's 1533-position model. The record is from RNAcentral.
CAGUCGCCGCGGUAAUACGUAGGGUGCAAGCGUUAAUCGGAAUUACUGGGCGUAAAGCGUGCGCAGGCGGUUUGUUAAGACAGAUGUGAAAUCCCCGGGCUCAACCUGGGAACUGCAUUUGUGACUGGCAAGCUAGAGUGUGGCAGAGGGGGGUGGAAUUCCGUGUGUAGCAGUGAAAUGCGCAGAUAUGCGGAGGAACACCGAUGGCGAAGGCAGCCCCCUGGGCCAACACUGACGCUCAUGCACGAAAGCGUGGGGAGCAAACAGGAUUAGAUACCCCCGUAGUCCCUGUCUCUUAUAC